RNAcentral lists this non-coding RNA (89 nucleotides) under uncultured Rhodobacter sp. RNAcentral's name for it is "Rhodo-rpoB RNA". It matches the Rfam family "Rhodo-rpoB RNA". Lineage: Bacteria; Pseudomonadati; Pseudomonadota; Alphaproteobacteria; Rhodobacterales. The record is from RNAcentral.
GUUCGGGAGCCCUCCGGUGGGACGGCGGGCGUGAAUGGGACCUGACCCCCUGUUUCGCAUGCGGCGCGCAAUCGUGACCCCGACGGUUG